GACUUUUUAUUUUAUUUUAGUUUUAUAAUUUUCAUUUUUUGUCACUUUUAUUCUUAUUUGCCAUUAUUUUUUGUGUUAUUGGUCUAUUGAGUUUUAUUAUUUCUUUUAUAUUUUUUUAUUAGUUUCAAUAUUAUUUUUCUUUUUAGGCUAGGUUUAUUUAUUUUCUUAAUUAUUCUAAUUAUUAUUAUUACUAUUAUUAGUUUACUAAAGUUUAUUAUUAUUAAAUUUCAUUAUUCUUAUUAGUGUG
RNAcentral lists this long non-coding RNA (247 nucleotides) under Lathyrus oleraceus (garden pea). RNAcentral's name for it is "Pisum sativum (pea) long non-coding RNA (PSAT_LNC019629)". The record is from RNAcentral. Lineage: Eukaryota; Viridiplantae; Streptophyta; Magnoliopsida; Fabales; Fabaceae.